AUAUUUUUGGAAGAUUUAUUGCAUUUCUAACAGUGGGAAGUGAAAGAUUGGUUUAUAUAAAAGUAAACAAACUUGUAUUAGUUUACAUGCUUUUAGAACUUGUUUUUGCUCAAAUAAUGUACAACAGUAGUUUGUAGGAAACAUAUAGUUGAUUUCUGGAUCCGCUCAUGUGUCCAGUUGAAGGGAAAGUAAUUGUUUUCCUGUCUUUCAAACUAUGAUAUCAUCAUAAUCCUCACUGUCCUCGUUAGCAGGGAUUACAGCAUCAUCAUAAUCCUCAGAGACAGUGUCUUGGUCUUGACUUUUAGUCUCGACGGCGGUGUACUGUGGAGUGAAGGUGGGUUGUUGGGGCGCAGGAGGAUUUGACACAUCCUCAAUCUCCUCAUAGUCUGACGCGGGCUCCAAAUCCUCAUUACUCUGAUCUACUGGAAAUUCAGAUAUGAUAUUGAACUGGUUACAUUUCUGUUUGCUUGUGGUGAUAUGCAGAGAGAGAAGUCUGAAAAGCAUUUAUCCCAUCCACAUUAUUUUGAAAUAUGGAAGUAAGCUAUUUUCUGUGAAUUUGCAAGAGUUCAGAAUGAUUAGUCAGUAAAUGAGUAGAACAAUUAUAAAGUGGAGUAAACUGUAAAACUAUAGUGUGUUUAUGAAUAAGACAAUAAAUACCAGUUUGUAGUAUCAAGCAGCAUAACAGGCUGUUUUGUACAGCUUAAAUAACUGGAAGUGAAUGACACCUGAAGCCAGUUACAAAAUGACUGCACUGCUUACAUUAAAAAUAAGGUGGAUAAACUUUAGAGACCCUGAGAGAGAAAAAAAACAGUCUGUCAUGCUUAUUUUGCUUCAAAAAAUAUUUUGCUUCAUGGCCAUGACCAAGGCAGGUUGUCAGGUAAGAAGGCAUAUUUAAUUUAAAAAAGAAAGUUUUGAAAUGAAAAUUCUAUUAUCCUUUGCUCACUCUUGUUCCAAACUUAUACAAGCUCUUUUGACAGUAGCCAUUGACUUCCAUAUAUUGGGGAAAAUACUGUGGAAGUCAAUGGCUACCAUCAACUCAUACAGGUUUGGAACAAUAUGAGGGUGAGUUAAAAAGAUCCUCCACCCCAAAAUGAAAAUUUUGUCAUUAAUCACUUACCCCCAUGUCAUUCCAAACCUGUAAAAGCUUUGUUCGUCUUCGGCACAUAAUUUAUGAUAUUUUGGAUGAAAACCGGGAGGCCUGUGACUGUCCCAUAGACUGCCAAGUAAAUAACAGUGU
Long non-coding RNA from Cyprinus carpio carpio, 1237 nucleotides. NCBI's taxonomy places the organism in Eukaryota, Metazoa, Chordata, Actinopteri, Cypriniformes, Cyprinidae. The record is from Ensembl.